Molecule: long non-coding RNA, 1161 nt
Organism: Chinchilla lanigera (long-tailed chinchilla)
Lineage: Eukaryota; Metazoa; Chordata; Mammalia; Rodentia; Chinchillidae
Exons: 2
Source: RefSeq, a predicted model, not a curated record
GAGGAGAUUCAUGAUCAAGGGAUACCAGACCCAGAAGCUUAACUUCUUCAUUGAGCUCCAAGGACUGGCAGGGGUCUUCUGAAGGCAAAAAACUUCAGGGAUCUGAACACAUCUGGUAAUAAGCUCUUGACAAUCUGGAACUGGGUCAUACUCAUCUUUGUAUUUAACUGCCAAUCCCUGAGCCUGGCAGAAAGUAGGAAGCCCACUCACAUUUAUUAGACUGGAUUAAAGCAAGAUUGAGCACAAUUUUCUGUAUGAAUUUCAGGAUGAAGUCAAAGGGUAUGGGCUCUGCUGAGGUAAAAAGAAUUCCCUGAAAACAUCACUGGGUGUCUCACUUGAAUAGGAAGUAAAGUGACACUACCAAGUAGAACCAGAAUCUUUAAAUAGAAAUAAAGGACUCUGAAAAGAAAAAAUUGUAAAGGAAAGGGGGAAACUUUCAGGUUGUUUAGGUUUCAUUUCUUGUAUUUUCUGUACAGCUUAUAUUUCUAACUUUAGUUGUAAUACAGAUCCUCCCUCGUCCUUCAUCUCUGCUGGUACUGAUUAAUGCAUGAAAACAUACACCCACACAUGUGCACACAUGCAUGCGUAUGCACACAUGCACGUGUACAUGUGCGUGUACACACACACACACACAUACACACACACAUGCCUGUGUCUCUCGUAACUGAUUAUGUGUUAUGUUGCUGUUCAGAACAGAAUCCGCAAAGAAAUAAAGACCUACUGAGAUUACAACCACAAAUAUUUUCCCAGGCAUGGGAACCAUCUUGUCGGGGCCUAUUAGGCCUAGGAGCAAUGAUCCAGAGGCCUGCCAUUUCCUGGUGACUAUGGACAAGCAGGAAGAGUCCCUCUGAAGCUACUCCAGCUCUGGUAGAAAACCAGAAAAUAUGCUGUGAAGUUAGGAGGAAGGGAGGACCAGGCCUGACACAACGAUCAUCUGUACCAUGCAGAGAAGAGAGGAAGACUUCUGUUUUGUUUUGUUUAUGUGCCACAGAGAAGCCACUGAUUUGAGUUUCAAAUUAUGGCAUAAUGGUUCAUUUACGCAAACCAUAAAUGAGCUUAUGUAAUGUUCUUAUGAAUAACAUACACACCAAUCUUGGCAGGCAUUUCUCCCUUGUUAAUUCUUAUAUUUUGUUUGUAUUUAAUACACCAUUAAGAUCUAAA